This 253-nucleotide ribosomal RNA is filed under the name uncultured prokaryote. RNAcentral's name for it is "partial 16S ribosomal RNA". It matches the Rfam family "Bacterial small subunit ribosomal RNA", at positions 524 to 776 of the family's 1533-position model. The record is from RNAcentral.
UACGGGGGGGGCAAGCGUUAUUCGGAAUUAUUGGGCGUAAAGGGCGCGUAGGCGGUCCUUCAAGUCUCUCGUGAAAUCCCUCGGCUUAACUGAGGACGUGCGGGAGAUACUGCUGGGCUUGAGUCCGGAAGAGGGUGGUGGAAUUCCCAGUGUAGCAGUGAAAUGCGUAGAUAUUGGGAGGAACACCAGUGGCGAAGGCGGCUCACUGGACCGGUUCUGACGCUGAGGCACGAAAGCGUGGGGAUCAAACAGG